GGAAUAUUGGACAAUGGGGGCAACCCUGAUCCAGCAAUGCCGCGUGUGUGAAGAAGGCCUGCGGGUUGUAAAGCACUUUCAGUAGAGAAGAAAAGUUACCGGCUAAUACCCGGUAACCCUGACGUAACCUACAGAAGAAGCACCGGCUAACUCCGUGCCAGCAGCCGCGGUAAUACGGAGGGUGCGAGCGUUAAUCGGAAUUACUGGGCGUAAAGCGCGCGUAGGCGGCUUUGUAAGUCGGUUGUGAAAUCCCCGGGCUUAACCUGGGAAUUGCAUUCGAUACUGCAUGGCUAGAGUAUGGUAGAGGAUAGUGGAAUUCCUGGUGUAGCGGUGAAAUGCGUAGAUAUCAGGAGGAACAUCAGUGGCGAAGGCGGCUAUCUGGACCAAUACUGACGCUGAGGUGCGAAAGCGUGGGGAGCA
RNAcentral lists this ribosomal RNA (420 nucleotides) under uncultured bacterium. RNAcentral's name for it is "bacterial SSU rRNA". It matches the Rfam family "Bacterial small subunit ribosomal RNA", at positions 358 to 770 of the family's 1533-position model. The record is from RNAcentral.